GUGAGCGGCACAGCUCAAAUUUGAAAGCUAGCCUUCGGGUUCGCAUUGUAAUUUGUAGAGGAUGAUUUGGGGAAGCCGCCUGUCUAAGUUCCUUGGAACAGGACGUCAUAGAGGGUGAGAAUCCCGUAUGUGACAGGAAAUGGCACCCUAUGUAAAUCUCCUUCGACGAGUCGAGUUGUUUGGGAAUGCAGCUCUAAAUGGGAGGUAAAUUUCUUCUAAAGCUAAAUAUUGGCGAGAGACCGAUAGCGCACAAGUAGAGUGAUCGAAAGAUGAAAAGCACUUUGGAAAGAGAGUUAAAAAGCACGUGAAAUUGUUGAAAGGGAAGCGCUUGCAAUCAGACUUGUUUAAACUGUUCGGCCGGUCUUCUGACCGGUUUACUCAGUUUGGACAGGCCAGCAUCAGUUUCGGCGGCCGGAUAAAGGCUCUGGGAAUGUGGCCUCCACUUCGGUGGAGGUGUUAUAGCCCAGGGUGUAAUACGGCCAGCCGGGACUGAGGUCCGCGCUUCGGCUAGGAUGCUGGCGUAAUGGUUGUAAGCGACCCGUCUUGAAACACGGACCA
This 558-nucleotide ribosomal RNA is filed under the name Diutina rugosa. RNAcentral describes it as "partial large subunit ribosomal RNA". It matches the Rfam family "Eukaryotic large subunit ribosomal RNA", at positions 93 to 668 of the family's 3401-position model. The record is from RNAcentral. Lineage: Eukaryota; Fungi; Ascomycota; Pichiomycetes; Serinales; Debaryomycetaceae.